AAUGUGUAGCAAUACACAUGUACAGUGGCGAACGGGUGAGGAUUACAUGGGUAACCUACCCUCGAGUGGGGAAUAACUAGCCGAAAGGUUAGCUAAUACCGCGUACGCUUCCCGGACUGCGGUUCGGGAAGGAAAGCGAUACCGUGGGUAUCGCGCUCUUGGAUGGGCUCAUGCCCUAUCAGCUUGUUGGUGAGGUAACGGCUCACCAAGGCUUCGACGGGUAGCUGAUCUGAGAGGAUGAUCAGCCACACUGGCACUGCGACACGGGCCAGACUCCUACGGGAGGCAGCAGUAAGGAAUAUUGCGCAAUGGGCGAAAGCCUGACGCAGCGACGCCGCGUGGGGGAUGAAGGUCUUCGGAUUGUAAACCCCUUUCGGGAGGGAAGAUGGGAUGGGGUAACCCAUUCGGACGGUACCUCCAGAAGCAGCCACGGCUAACUUCGUGCCAGCAGCCGCGGUAAUACGAAGGUGGCAAGCGUUGUUCGGAUUUACUGGGCGUACAGGGAGCGUAGGCGGUUGGAUAAGCCCUCCGUGAAAUCUCCAGGCUUAACCUGGAAAGUGCAGAGGGGACUGUUCAGCUAGAGGAUGGGAGAGGAGCGCGGAAUUCCCGGUGUAGCGGUGAAAUGCGUAGAGAUCGGGAGGAAGGCCGGUGGCGAAGGCGGCGCUCUGGAACAUUUCUGACGCUGAGGCUCGAAAGCGUGGGGAGCAAACAGGAUUAGAUACCCUGGGUAGUCCACGCCUUAAACGAUGGAUACUAAGUGUCGGCGGGUUACCGCCGGUGCCGCAGCUAACGCAGUAAGUAU
This 802-nucleotide ribosomal RNA is filed under the name uncultured Nitrospira sp. Its description in RNAcentral is "bacterial SSU rRNA". It matches the Rfam family "Bacterial small subunit ribosomal RNA", at positions 71 to 867 of the family's 1533-position model. The record is from RNAcentral. Lineage: Bacteria; Pseudomonadati; Nitrospirota; Nitrospiria; Nitrospirales; Nitrospiraceae.